CUGCAGGGCCAGAGCCGGCAGCGCCGCCUCGGGCCCGGCCGCCGCCAUCGUGCGUCUCACCCCCGCUCCGCCCCCUGCCCCGAGCGGCGCCGGGACAUGCCACUGACACUGGGAGGAGUGUGAAUACCUGUGCCUAACCCUUCUAGCAGCAAUGGAGGUGAAGGUUCCCCAUCCAGAGCAUGGGACUCACAGGGGAUUUAGUUGCAAUUUUCCCAGCUUGAAAGAAAGGCCUGAAGCUGAAGGGGCUAUAUACAAGUACUCCAAACCGUAGGGAGGCCCAGACUCUCAUCUAAAUAAAAUAAAAGCUCUGUUCCAGCAUGUGCACUAUC
Non-coding RNA from Chelonoidis abingdonii (Abingdon island giant tortoise), 329 nucleotides. Lineage: Eukaryota; Metazoa; Chordata; Testudines; Testudinidae. The record is from RefSeq and is a predicted model, not a curated record.